Long non-coding RNA from Sander lucioperca (pikeperch), 107 nucleotides. RefSeq lists it as uncharacterized. Lineage: Eukaryota; Metazoa; Chordata; Actinopteri; Perciformes; Percidae. The record is from RefSeq and is a predicted model, not a curated record. The transcript has 3 exons.
CCACUUAUUUUCUAAUGCUGCUGUUAUUUCAUGUCAAUACAGUUCUUCUGUCAUUCUGAAUUUAUAAGAAACAGUUAAAUAAUUUUGGACAGUUCCCUGUCCGCCGU